This 30-nucleotide transfer RNA is filed under the name Parvulastra dyscrita. Its description in RNAcentral is "Patiriella dyscrita partial tRNA-Thr". The record is from RNAcentral. Lineage: Eukaryota; Metazoa; Echinodermata; Asteroidea; Valvatida; Asterinidae.
AGCCUUAAAGGCUAACUGGAUAGCAGUUAA